Molecule: long non-coding RNA, 11035 nt
Filed under: Nicotiana tabacum (common tobacco)
Lineage: Eukaryota; Viridiplantae; Streptophyta; Magnoliopsida; Solanales; Solanaceae
Description: long non-coding RNA (NTAB_LNC018702)
Source: RNAcentral
CUGGAUGUUGAUCGGAACCUCAUUAGCGACCUCGAUGCUCGCCAGAAAACUCAGACUAAAUCAGAAAACAGACCCAACGAACUCCAUGACACUAGCUCCUGAUUUGGAGUUGUUUCUCGGCCGAUGGAAGUGAAGAGAUUGGUUGCUGCUGUGUGCGUUCAAAAGUGAAGAAGCAGCAGUGGCUCCAAUGGUUUCCUGGGGGUGUGGGUGGUCGUGAGUGAGUGUUUUCCAGUGAGCUAUGGUAAAGAGAAGGAAGAGUAGUGAUGGGUGUUGAUGGGUGUCUAGGGUUCUGGUUCGUUGUUAAUGGGAAGAAGCAGAAACUGCGAUGGCUAUGGUGUUCGCAACUCUCUGUCCAGCAGCGACUCUGUGUGUGUGUCGGCGACUGAGGGUUAGCAGUUGUUGAAGAAGAAGAGAACGAGUGGGUCGUUUUUGUGUUGCGGUUGAUUUCCAGCCCUUAGGUCCUAAGGGUUUUUCUAUGUUUUUUCAUGAAGAAGAAGAAGAAAGCUGAUGGGGUUUUCAGCAUGUAAAAAAACAGCGCUCACUCUAGGGUCUUAGAGUCUAGGGUCUUGUUUGUUUUACAAGGUUUUUUAGGUUAGGGGGUGUGGGCCUAGGAAUUAUGGGCUUGGGAAUUAUGGGCUAGGUCUGAAAAUUAGGCUUAAAAAUGGGUUGUUUGAACCCAAAUUUUAUUCUUUCUCCGCGAACGAGGCUAAAAAUACGACCUUAUUUACCAAUUAAUCCUACUUAAGUAAAAUAAUUAUUAAAAUAAGACUAACCGUUAAAACAAACCUAUUUUUUUGGUAUUUUCAAAUAUCAUAUUAAAAUAAAAAUAAGGUAAUAUUUUUUGUAUUUUUUUAGUUUUACGAAAAGUUAUAAACUAAAAGCAACUAAAAAAGAAGAAAUAUUUUUGUAAUUUUCAUUUUUUGAUAAAAUAAAGUAAAAGAGUCAAAACUAAUUGAAAUAGCGAUAUUAGGCUUAAACCAAACAUUUACAUGCUAAAAUGUGAAAAAUCUUGGGGAGGGUCAAAAAUCACAUGUCUACAGCUGUCCCUCUUUGACUGAAAAUACGAAGUAUCUUCAGACAAAGAACGACUAGACAGGUUUUUUUACCAGACCCUUAUUUAGGGAGAUCAAAAACUAAGAGAAAGGAGAAAUGUGACCGAGCCCUGGUAUCUGAGCUGCCUACAAUCCUUGGCUAUAAAGGAAUCAGGCCUCGUGUAGUUCAGAAGUGAGUGAUAUGAUGGAGUAUACCGAGGUGGAGAGCCGGUCGAGGUGCCAUUCUGUCGAGGUUCCAGUCCGCGGUCCUGUUAUUACAUCAAAAAUCAAAAAAUAAAAAAGACUAGCUAAGCCUGUCAAAUAUGAGUUACAAGAUUCCUAUCUAUAAGUCUUCUGAAGCUUGAUCUUGAGUCUUGAAUAGCCUUCAUGCAGACUCUAGAUUUGAACCUUGGUGCUUGUUAGCUGCAGGUGCUAGCUCGCUCUCCUUCAGCUUUUCGGAUCAAUAUCGGACAUGUGGUGCUUGUGACUUCAACCACGUCUUGAGCAGUUCACAUCUUUCUCUGCUUCUGUAUUUUGGAUUCAUUUCUCUUUUUUCUUUUUUUUUCUUUUUUUUUUAUUCUGGAUUGAGAUUACUUUUGUUGAUCAUCUCGGAUUGUUGACUUGCAUUUUUGCCGCGAGCUUAUGCUACUUCUAACUGUCUUCCUUCGCGAAACUUGGACUGCCUUCCCUUAUUCUCCAGGUGGGUGCCUGAUUGCUGAAAUUCGAACUACUUUCCUUAAAAUAUAAGCUGUUUUCCUUUGUUCUCCAGGUAGGAGCCUGAUUGCUGAACUUGAACUGUCUUCCUUCAAAACUUGAGCUGUUUUCCCUUGUUCUCUAGGUGGGCGCCGGACUGCUGAAACUCGAAUUGCUUUUCCCUGAAACUUGAACUGCUUUCCCUUGUUAUUCCUGGUGGGCGCCUGAUUGCUGAACUUGAACAUGUCUUCCUUCGAAACUUGAGUUGCUUUCCCUUGUUCUCCAAGUGGACGCCUAAUUGCUGAACUUGAAUCGCUUUCCUUUGAAACUGCUUUUCCUUGAAACUUGAAAUGUCUCCCCUUGUUCUCCAGGUGAGCGCCUGAUUGCUGAACUUGACAUGUCUUUCCCUGAAACUUGAACUGCUUUCUCUUGUUCUCCAGGUGGGCGCCUGAUUGUUGAACUCGAACUGCUUUCCUUUCCCCUGAAACUUGAAUUGCUUUCCCUUGUUUUCUAGGUGGGCGCCUGAUUGUUGAACAAAGUAAAACUCUCAUUAGACCUUGUCACUUGUGAGGGCCUCAAAACUUACUAAAUCCUAUUAUCCAAGAGGGUACUAGAAACUUACUGUCGAGCUUGUCUGGCACUUGCUUUCCUCCCGGAAGGUUUCUCUGGAACAAACAAAAUUUCCUUCCCAUGUUUCAAUCAAAGAAAACUUGUGAGUUUAAACAUGGUGGUUGGUUUGCGUCCUUGACUUUGAGGGCGAUUGCUCCUUCACUUCCCAUGAUAACUUCGAUUUCCGCUUGGAAGACCUUGCUUGUCAUUGGUUAGCCACUUUCUCUAUCACCCUUAUCACAGAAAAUACCUCUGAUCCGUUCAAACCCAAUACCAUUCAUCUGUUGCAUUGUGCUCAUACAUUGCCAUAUACUGAACCUUUGUGUUUCACAUUAAUCCCAAAGCACGUCAAUUGCCACCCACUCAGUGCGCAUGCUGUUCUUUCCUGACUUAACCCACUGGUCUUGGCCUUGAGGUUAUUGCUCCUUCACAUGCCAUGAUAACUUUGAUUUCCGCUUGGAAGACCUUGCUUGUCAUUGGUUAACCACUUUCUCUAUCAACCUUAUCACAGAAAAUACCUUUGACCCGUUCACCCAACAUCCUCUAUCUGUUGCAUUAUUCAUGAAUUGACAUAUACCAAACCUUUGUAUUUUACAUGAAUCCCAAAACACGUUGAUUGUUACCAACUCAGCGCGCUUGCCGUUCUUUCCUGACUUAUGCCAUUUUGAUGUGCUAGCCAAAUUCUAUUUUGCGCAAUUGGAAAGUUGGUAGUAAAUUUUGAAAUCAUUUCUUACUUGUUCUGACCAAACAGACUCAGGAAGAGGAAGUAAACAAGGCAAAAGGAACAGAGUAAAAGACAAUGAAAAAAGAUGAUUUCUAACAAGAAAACUACAAAGUAGAAAUUUAUCAGGUAUGGAUACAACUCUAAUGACCAUGACAUGUAACUUUGGAUUAAGUGGCAUAAUCUGUCAAGCAAGUCUAAUGUUCAACUAUUGUUGUACCUCUGAGUCGUGAAAUCGGGCUUCCAUGCUCCGAUUAUCCUAUCUGAUUCACGAUCCUUAUUCGACUUGUAGUGCCCGAAGGGUUUACACCAUCAAGCCUUUCUCAUUUUUUUCUUUUUCUCAACUCACCAUCGUCUUAUGGUGCCUGUGAAGGUUUUGACCACUAAGACUAUCUCAUUUUGUUCUUUUCUUCUUAUUUCCUCUUAUUCUGCAGAUGACAAGGCAUUACCUAUGGUAAAAACAUCAUAUACUCUUGGCAUGUCUAAACUCAGCACUCUCAAAGAUUAUCUGAGAGGUCUUUUUUGGACUGGUAUGUGGCUUUUGGACAGGGUUAGAAAGAAUGGAUAAAGGCUCAAAAUAAUUAAGACAACGGGGUUAAUUCAUUUAUAACUUUUGGAAUCCAUUUUAGAACUUUGCCCCGAUUUCUAAAACAAGGGAAUUUGAUUCUUUUUUUUCUUUUUCUUUUGAUGGAGUUACUAAGAAAGACUGCCCCACUUUCGAUUUUGUAGGAUUAUGAAAUAUUUUAUUUGGUAUGACCGAACCGUAAGGCUGCCUACGUAUCUUGUGGUGACAAGAAUCAGGUCAAACGUAGUUCACAUGACUACCUUUGUUACUAUUUUCCUUUUUCUUUUUUCUUUCUUUUUUCUUCUCUUUUUUUCUUUUCCUUUUUUUAUCUUUAUUUUUCUCUUCGUCUUUUCUUGAAUUUUCCUUUUGGAAUGAACCUUUUAAAAUAAACCUAUGGGGACAUAAACCUUUUUUUUUCGUAUGACUCUGACUUGAUUCCAAAAGAAGGCAGGUCAAAGAAAUUAGUACAGAAUCAAAAGGGUAUCAAAUGGUAUAAGUGUUUGGUAGCUGAAAGAGGGCCUCCCAAUCCCUGAAAAUGCCAAGUACAACACAUGCAACUUGAAAUGAAAAAGGAAGAGCACAUACAAUAUUUCUUUUACAGCUUCGAUAUUGAUAUCACUGAUAUGCUUUUCACUUUUUUAGUGUCUUGCAAGUACAGAACCCUCAUUGGGUGAUUCCUUUUUCACAAUGGAUAUUCUCCAUCAAUUCUAGGGGUGUUCAAAACCAUUCCGAAACUUAAAACUGAACCGAACGGAAACUUAAUUGCUUACUGGUAACGGCUUAACGGACGAAGAACGAAUUAAAUUUUUUUUAUUAAUGGCUUAUCAGUUUGGGGGCAAAUUAUUCAAUUUUCUGAAUAGAUAAUCCGUUAACCCGUUAAGAAUAUAAAUAAUUAAAUAUAUAUAUAAUUUAUUUUUAUUCAUAUAGAUUAAAUAUAAAAAAACAAGAACCCUUGAACUUGAAUAAUAUAAAACAAACUCGUCUCUGUCUCUAUAGUCUAUUCUCUAAGUUGAAAAUUUUUAGUGUGCUAUAAUAUAUUAAUAUAUAACAAACAAUCGAGCAGGCUAAUAAGAACUACCAUGCUCAGGACUAUAUGAAGUACCAAAACCUUCUCGUGCGUACUUUCUGACUCGUCUGAUGAAUCCACAGGUGUUCUGCUACCGCUUGCUCCAGACGCUGAGGCAUUGGCCUCAACCUUCACAAAUAAAGUUGAAACAGGAUCGUCAAAUCCACCAAAUUCCAUGCUCCUGAGUAACCAACAGUAAGCCUUCUCCUCAUUAAGGCCAUAAAUAGAAGCAACACAAUCACAGUUUGAUAAGCAAGCAUCACCACAUUUGGACACAGUCCCUUUAUCACUAUAAUUACCUAUGACAGAUGAUUCUGAGAAAUAAUAAUUUGUUUUCUGAACAGUAGAAAUCUUGAACUGAGACAUCAAGUUUUCAUGCCGAGGUCCACAUUUCCCUGUCACUGAAGAAUUUCCUGAACAUGAGACAUCAUUGCCCACCUUAGAAGUCCCUGGCAAACAUGUGCAAGAAGCAUUCAUCUUGCUUCUGUCUAAAUUACAUAUCCCAUUGCCACAAAUUCCAGAAAUAUACUGUUGGUACAAUUACCUAGAAGGAACUAUUAUUUUGAAGUAAGUUGCUUUGAAGUGAACCAAAAGAUGAAAAUCGCUGGAUAAACAUUUGAGAUUUGAAUGACUUCAGUACGGCAGUACCUAGUUGAGAAUAAUUUCGAUUUGUGAAUAUGUAUGCUAGGCCAAUAAACCGCCCGAUAACUGCCCGAUAAGAGCUAAACCGAUACCAAUCCUCCCGAUAUCUUAUCGGGUGGAUAACAAAUUAAUAUAUUUAAAAGCCGAUAACUGUCAAGCCAAACCGUUAAGAGUAAAUAACCGCCCAAUGCGGCCGAUAAGCAGCCCUAGUCAAUUCGGAGAAAACUUUCUUGACUUUAUCUUGUAACUUGAGAUGCAUUUGAACUCAAAGUUGCUUGUUUCAAAUCGUCCGGGAUGCACUCUCUUGUAACCAAUUCUUGUCACCCUAUUAUCUUCCCAAAUUAUCUCCCCCAGUUUCACAUAGUUUGGGCUUCAAAUGAUCUCAAAAUGUCCAAAUCUGUCCUUAUUUCCCUCAAAUAUCCCUAUCAUCUUCAAAAUUGUUCCAUUGAUUCGUGAUUAAACUAACUUUUAAGACCAGACCUAGAAUUAUGCGUGCAUGUCAUGUCACUAGAGCCAGCAGAAAAGAACUAUAAAAGGAAAAGAGAACUAAACAAAAUGACUAGAAAUAACAGAAAAUAGAAAAUUGCAUUAGACAAACUGUGAAAGGGUUUGAACAACAAGACAAGCAAACUAAACUGGGGUACAACCCUGGAACAAACCUAGACAAUUCUAAAUGAGUUACUAUGACUAAACAAACUAGGCAAAAUAAAAGGAUAGAAGGGUUUGAGUCACAAGACAAUAUCCGUGUUACAACCCUGAGAUAACCCGGACAACAGAAAUGACAACAAAAUAAACUACCAAGACUCCUUCCCGGCUAGCAACAAAAGGAGCAUCUUUCCAAUCAUCAAGCUCAACAUCUUAGCCACUGAGUUCCGCAUCAACAGUACUAGAACCUUCACAAGUCUCCAUUACAUUGACUUUAGCAAAUUGUGUUUGAGUUCCAUUUGCCGGCUCGUUCUUAAGAUCAACCUCUAAUAGCGCUGAAAGCUUUGCAGCACGUGGACCUCUAAGGAUCUCAGAAGAAUUCUCAUAUUCCUUUUCAAAACAAAUCAUACCCACCAUAUGCAUCUCAUUAUGAACAGGCGAUGAACUUUGGCUAGUGUCUACUGCAUCUGGAUUUUGCACGACAAUGUCACCUGCAUUAAUGAGCUUCUGAAUUGCUCUUUUCAUAUGCCAACACUUUUCUGUGCUGUGACCCUAGGCAUCCGAGCAAUGUGCGCACCUUUAAGAAUAAUAAAAAUUCUUUGGAAGAGGAUUCAACAUUUUUAUCUGAAUCAGCUUCAACAUGUCCAAUUGCCUCAACCUUUGGAACAAACUGGCAUAUGAUUCUCCAAUGGGAGUGAAAGUCUUUUCCUUUUGCUUUUGCCUUUUCAUCUUGUACUCUGGCCUCAGUUGGAACCUUUUGCAGGUAGGUGGUUGAUAUGCUUGAGGGGGCGGGUAAGACAUUUAUUGAAGUGGUGUGGGCCAUCGCGGGCCUUGUGGAUGUGGAUCAUAUGGUGGUGCAUUGUGGAUGGAGUAUUGGGAAAGUAAUGUACGACUUUGGGGGUUUUGUGGAGAUAAGUAGAAUUGAGGAGGAUUAUCUGGUGUACAGGGAUAUCCAUGGGGUCGAUAUCGAGGCUGAAAGCGUUGAGCAGGAAUGCCCACCGGAUCCUAUUGUUGGCGCGGCUCAACAACAUCUUUUCUAUUUCUCUUUCCUUCACCCAAACUUACUGAGAUGUUUUGAAUAUCUUCUGUAGUAUCUUUUAAUGCCGAAUAACUCAUGAUUUUGCCUGACUUGAUUCCCUCUUCUACCAUCUCCCCCAUUUUUACCACAUCAUUGAAAGGUUUGCCCAAGGUCGGGAUCAAAUGACUGAAGUAGGUGGGCCCCUAGGCUUGUAGGAAAAGCUCAACCAUUUCUUCUUAACCAAUCGGGGGACUGACUCGACAGCCUGUUCCCUCCAUCUGAGCCCAAACUCCCUAAAGCUUUCCUCCGGUUUCUUUUCCAUCUUGGAUAGGGAGGAGCGGUCUUAGAUAAUGUCUAGAUUGUAUUGAAAAUGUCGAACAAAAUAUUGAGCCAUGUCAUCCUAUGUAUGCCACUUAUUGAGAUCUUGACGAGUAUACCAUUGCAAGGCUGCCCCAGUCAAGCCCUCGCUGAAAUAUGUCAUCAACAAAUCCUCUUUCCCCCAACACUUCUCAUUUCACUGCAAUAACCCCUCAGAUGGCUAUUGGAUCUCCACGCCCAUCAUACAAGUUAAACUUUGGCAUUUUAAACCCUGUGGGCAGAUGAACAUCAGGGAACAUGCACAAGUCAUUAUAAGACAUGUUAAUUUGANNNNNNNNNNNNNNNNGUGAAAAUAAAAAGAAAACAUUUUUUUUGUUUUUUUUUUAUAUAUUUCCCAGUGGAGAACCUUAAGAGAAAAUCUUUUUGGAUUUUUGGAAUUAAUAUCUUAAAGAGAACUUUUAAAGAGGUACUAAAAGAAACUUCUCUUCUUUUUUUUAGUCUUAAUAUACUAAAAGGAAGCAUAAAAGCAAUUUUUUAUUAAGUUCUAGAUAUUAACUUCCUAAGGAAAACCACCUCAAAUAAAUUCUUCUUUUUUCCAUUUCUAGAAUUAGUAUUUUAAAGAAAACUUCUAACGGAAAUAUAAAACGCAAAAUCUCUCCUUUUUUUUUUUUGGAUUUUUGAGUUAUAACACACUUUUUCAAAUACAAAAUAGAAAGUACAAUAACAAAAAACUCGACAUUACUGUAUAAAACUAGAAGGUAAAAGAAGGCAUAAAAAGAAAAACAGACUCAAAACAUAAAAAAUAAAAAAAAUCUCUUUAAGCAACUCCUGAAUGAGCGAUCAUGUCUGGCUGGUCUCAGGGUGUCUGUCAUGCUCAAACCCUGGUAAGUAAAUCCACACCUGUAUGAGAAAAUUAAGACCAAAUAAAGUUAAAGACCUAGAACGCUAUGUAAGACAAUAACCCUUCCUGUUGGACACAUGCAAGACGCGAUUGUGACUAUUUUUUCUAAAAUUAACCUGUGUGGCUAAGAGUGGCUAAAAAUGCAAGAUUUGGCUAAUACCCCUCGAAGCCAAGAACCUAAAACUUACUAGGAAAAUCGGACCCUAUGUAGGUUGCCUACGUAUCACGUCAAAACGAGAAUCAGGUAUGCGUAGUUCGGGCAGAUUGGAUAUGGGCGAAAAAUAUAGAAGAAAACAACUAAUUUAAAGAAAAUAUAUUUUUUGGUCUUUUUUUUAAAAAAAUGAUGGAACAUGUAAACUCUUUUUGGAUUUUCUUUUCCCUUUUUUUUUGAUUUUUUGAUUUUCAAAAAAUGAUGAAAAAAUGCAAAAUCUUUUUUUCGAAUUUUUCAUGUUUUUUUCUUAACAAAAAUGUGACAGAAAACAUAAUCGGGCCCUACUUGCUUUAUUUUUCACACUUUACCCUCUCUUUUUUUUUCUCUUUUUUUUUCUUUUUCAUUUGCCCUCAGCUAUUAUUGGUCUGCCAAAUGACCCUUUUACCCUUGAUGAAAUGCAACAUAUAGCACAUAGGAUGCAUCAAGAUGGUCUAUUAUUUUGGGUACACCUGUCUUAAAUCGACCCAACCCCUGUGUUGAGUCCCUAAAGGCAAAUGCACGUGACGCAAACAAACGUUCCUACUAGGGAUCCGGCAUGAGGUUAUGUUUUCUAGGUUUAAAUCUUGGGGUUGUGUUCUAGACCUGGCUUAUACGAGCGGACAACUCGAGCCGAAGAGGGGGAAACGUACCGGGAGCACUGAAGUCUACCCGACGUUGUUGCUGGCCUAGCCCCAUUCUUAUUUGGUAUAACUUCUACAGAAAAAGCGGGCCACACGAACGUGUGCACCAUUUUCAGAAGACUCAGAGGGGUGGCAUAAGAAGACAAUUAUAUACAAUUCAAACAAUAUUAAAGCGGUAAACAGAUAGAAUUUAGCAUAAAAGGUUCACAGAAUACAGUAAUAUUAAUAAUAAAUGAAGCCAAGUAAAAAUCAUAUUAAUAAGCUCAAAUUCUGAACCCUGAACCAGAAGUUCUGGGUUCUUAUCCCCAAUAGAGUCGCCAGAGCUGUCACACCUCCUUUUUCCUACCCCAGGAAGGGUAUAAGGGAGUUUUUCCAAUUUAAGUAACAAUCGAAACGAGAUUAAUUAUUUAAAAUCAGAGUCGUCACUUAGGAUAAUUUAUGGUGUCCCAAGUCACCGGUUUAAAAUCCCGAAUCGAGGAAAUUGACUCUGUUUAUGUAUGUGAACACAGAAAUCAGGGUAAGGAAUUAUGUUAACCAGGGAAAAGGUGUUAGACAUUUUCGAGUUUCGUGGUUCUAGCACAGUCGCUUUGAUCAUAUUUGGCUUAAUCAAAUUGUCUAAUUACUCAUUUUAGAACCUAUGUUCAUUUGCCUCUUUUACCUAAGGAAUUAUCUUGAAACAGGUCACAUGCACGUGUACCCGUUUGUUUGGCGUGUCAAAAAUUAUGCCACGCGAACGUGUCCACAAUUAAUAAUGCUUUAUUAUUAUAAGAAAGUUUGGCUGAAGUUGCGCGAACGCAUACUCUAGUUUUGUUUUUAGAAUCGUAAUUACAUCACGCGAAUGUGUACGUAAUCACAAUGGUAUUUUAGACGUGCCUAAAAGCAAACUACGAACAUCAUUUUAAAUAUCUAAGUCACAAAAUUAAUACGAGGGCCAUAGGGAUUCAGUUAUGAAUGGCACACCUCGACCUAGAGAACUACAUUUAAUUUAGCAUCCUAUUAACAAUAAUUAUAUUAUUAAGAAAGUUCGAUCGAAGUUGCACGAACACAUACUCCGAAUUGAUUUUUAGAAUCGUAAUCAUGUCACACGAACGUGUACACAAUCACAAUUGUAUUUUAAACGCGCCUAAAGGCUUUUCUAAUAAUGUUUAUUAUUUGUUCAACUCCUAAGUUUGAGAUAUUGUAAAUGGAUUAAAGCACGAUGACACAACAGACCUUUACAAUCACAUGCCUUGAUUUUGACUAGGUAAAAAUAGCCAUUAUCAUGUUAAAGGGGAAACCAACUCGACUGAACUUAACAAUGGACAUGAAAUGCCUUUAUAUACCUAGUUCAUUAAAUUUGGUUAAUAACAACCUAACCUAUAGUGUCCAAGAUCAUUUACUAAUUACACAUUCCAUGGUAGUAGAAUCACAAACAAGAUUUCUUCAAAAUGAAAAUAACUGAAGCAUUGGUAUUAAGCCUAGUGUUCAAAGAAGUCAAUCGCUCCAAUAUUUUAACUUAGAACCAAACAACCAUGAACCAAAAUUUAUAUAAGUGACUCAUAUUUACUGGAAAAAAAUCGGGAAAAACUAUAUUCUAGGUAUUCAAAAUACAGUGCAAAUGAAACAAAGGAUUCAAAGCAAGGAAAGCAUCAAAGAUGCUAAAUAACGAGAGCAAACGAAGCAUUCAAUUUAAACAAACCAACUAGAACAAAUAUAACAUUGCAUUUGGGAUAUGUAGAUGAAGAACAGACCUUUAUUGCUGAAUAUUUAAGUUAUGAGAUUUGUUCGAAUCAAAGGAUCUCAGAUCGGACAACUGGACGUUGAUCGGAACCUCAUCGGUGACCUCGAUGCUCAAGGGAAAACUCAGACUAAAUCAGAAAAUAGACCCAACAAACUCCAUGACAGUAGCUCCUAAUUUGGAGUUGUUUCUCGGUUGAUGGAAGUGAAGAGAUCGGUUGUUGCUGUGUGCGUUCAAAAGUGAAGAAGCAGCAGCGACUCCAAUGGUUUCCUGGGGCG